RNAcentral lists this ribosomal RNA (907 nucleotides) under Sclerophomella clematidis-rectae. RNAcentral describes it as "LSU rRNA". It matches the Rfam family "Eukaryotic large subunit ribosomal RNA", at positions 38 to 963 of the family's 3401-position model. The record is from RNAcentral. Lineage: Eukaryota; Fungi; Ascomycota; Dothideomycetes; Pleosporales; Didymellaceae.
GCAUAUCAAUAAGCGGAGGAAAAGAAACCAACAGGGAUUGCCCUAGUAACGGCGAGUGAAGCGGCAACAGCUCAAAUUUGAAAUCUGGCGUCUUUGGCGUCCGAGUUGUAAUUUGCAGAGGGCGCUUUGGCAUUGGCAGCGGUCCAAGUUCCUUGGAACAGGACGUCACAGAGGGUGAGAAUCCCGUACGUGGUCGCUAGCCUUUACCGUGUAAAGCCCCUUCGACGAGUCGAGUUGUUUGGGAAUGCAGCUCUAAAUGGGAGGUAAAUUUCUUCUAAAGCUAAAUACUGGCCAGAGACCGAUAGCGCACAAGUAGAGUGAUCGAAAGAUGAAAAGCACUUUGGAAAGAGAGUUAAAAAGCACGUGAAAUUGUUGAAAGGGAAGCGCUUGCAGCCAGACUUGCCUGUAGUUGCUCAUCCGGGUUUCUACCCGGUGCACUCUUCUAUAGGCAGGCCAGCAUCAGUUUGGGCGGUUGGAUAAAGAUCUCUGUCAUGUACCUCUCUUCGGGGAGAACUUAUAGGGGAGAUGACAUGCAACCAGCCUGGACUGAGGUCCGCGCAUCUGCUAGGAUGCUGGCGUAAUGGCUGUAAGCGGCCCGUCUUGAAACACGGACCAAGGAGUCUAACAUCUAUGCGAGUGUUUGGGUGUCAAGCCCGAGCGCGUAAUGAAAGUGAACGGAGGUGGGAGCCUUUCGGGGUGCACCAUCGACCGAUCCUGAUGUCUUCGGAUGGAUUUGAGUAAGAGCAUAGCUGUUGGGACCCGAAAGAUGGUGAACUAUGCUUGAAUAGGGUGAAGCCAGAGGAAACUCUGGUGGAGGCUCGCAGCGGUUCUGACGUGCAAAUCGAUCGUCAAAUUUGGGCAUAGGGGCGAAAGACUAAUCGAACUAUCUAGUAGCUGGUUCCUGCCA